AGUGUUUUGUCUCUUUCAAGCAUUGCAUAUUAUUGCAUGAUUAUAAUUGGAUCUUCACAUUUGAAUUACCUAGAGUCAUGUUUGUAGUUUUGAGCUAUGAAGCCUGGACUCUUUUCCUUUGAAGCACGAACACCGAACACGUAUGGAUGUCGACAUCGAUAAUAAUUUGAGAAAAUGACAUAAUUCAGUGAAAUCAUUUGUGUCGGUGUGCGACACUGUGUCUGUGAGAGCUAUGAAGCAGCUCUCCUCAGAGUAGGUGUGUCUUGGUGUCGGACACUGACACAUAUGAUUAUACUCAUGGUAUGAGAAACUGGCUACUUUUGGCUUUUUAGCCAAAGCCUAUGUUAUAUAUAUAAUUAUAAUUAUUAAUUGAAGUUAAAUAGUUUGCAUCCCCUAAUCUAAGGUUCUGGAUACGUAACUAACUAUCCUCAUUCCUCUCUCUCAUGUGUUUCCCCGCUUAUCAUUUUCUGGUUUUUGUCUUCCUUUUUCAUAUAUAGUACCUCUCUUUUGAUUUCAUCUAUUUAUUAAUUUUUUGACAAUUUUUGUUUUAU
This 551-nucleotide long non-coding RNA is filed under the name Trifolium pratense (red clover). RNAcentral describes it as "long non-coding RNA (TPRA_LNC010449)". The record is from RNAcentral. Lineage: Eukaryota; Viridiplantae; Streptophyta; Magnoliopsida; Fabales; Fabaceae.